This 575-nucleotide ribosomal RNA is filed under the name Colletotrichum sp. ITCC 6161. RNAcentral's name for it is "eukaryotic LSU rRNA". The stretch from base 212 to 365 matches the Rfam family "5.8S ribosomal RNA". The record is from RNAcentral. Lineage: Eukaryota; Fungi; Ascomycota; Sordariomycetes; Glomerellales; Glomerellaceae.
CAAGGUCUCCGUUGGUGAACCAGCGGAGGGAUCAUUACUGAGUUUACGCUCUACAACCCUUUGUGAACAUACCUACAACUGUUGCUUCGGCGGGUAGGGUCCCCGUGACCCUCCCGGCCUCCCGCCCCCCCGGGCGGGUCGGCGCCCGCCGGAGGAUAACCAAACUCUGAUUUAACGACGUUUCUUCUGAGUGGUACAAGCAAAUAAUCAAAACUUUUAACAACGGAUCUCUUGGUUCUGGCAUCGAUGAAGAACGCAGCGAAAUGCGAUAAGUAAUGUGAAUUGCAGAAUUCAGUGAAUCAUCGAAUCUUUGAACGCACAUUGCGCCCGCCAGCAUUCUGGCGGGCAUGCCUGUUCGAGCGUCAUUUCAACCCUCAAGCUCUGCUUGGUGUUGGGGCCCUACAGCUGAUGUAGGCCCUCAAAGGUAGUGGCGGACCCUCCCGGAGCCUCCUUUGCGUAGUAACUUUACGUCUCGCACUGGGAUCCGGAGGGACUCUUGCCGUAAAACCCCCCAAUUUUCCAAAGGUUGACCUCGGAUCAGGUAGGAAUACCCGCUGAACUUAAGCAUAUCAAUA